RNAcentral lists this ribosomal RNA (253 nucleotides) under uncultured bacterium. RNAcentral describes it as "partial 16S ribosomal RNA". It matches the Rfam family "Bacterial small subunit ribosomal RNA", at positions 524 to 776 of the family's 1533-position model. The record is from RNAcentral.
UACGAAGGGGGCUAGCGUUGCUCGGAAUCACUGGGCGUAAAGGGUGCGUAGGCGGGGCUUUAAGUCAGGGGUGAAAUCCUGGAGCUCAACUCCAGAACUGCCUUUGAUACUGAAGAUCUUGAGUUCGGGAGAGGUGAGUGGAACUGCGAGUGUAGAGGUGAAAUUCGUAGAUAUUCGCAAGAACACCAGUGGCGAAGGCGGCUCACUGGCCCGAUACUGACGCUGAGGUGCGAGAGCGUGGGGAGCGAACCGG